This 253-nucleotide ribosomal RNA is filed under the name uncultured bacterium. RNAcentral describes it as "partial 16S ribosomal RNA". It matches the Rfam family "Bacterial small subunit ribosomal RNA", at positions 524 to 776 of the family's 1533-position model. The record is from RNAcentral.
UACGAAGGGGGCUAGCGUUGUUCGGAAUUACUGGGCGUAAAGCGUGCGUAGACGGUAGCGUAAGUCAGAUGUGAAAGCCCCGGGCUCAACCUGGGAACUGCAUUUGAGACUGCUCUGCUCGGGUGCGGAAGAGGGAAGCGGAAUUUCCGGUGUAGCGGUGAAAUGCGUAGAUAUCGGAAGGAACACCAGUGGCGAAAGCGGCUUCCUGGUCCGACACCGACGUUCAGGCACGAAAGCGUGGGGAGCAAACAGG